Molecule: ribosomal RNA, 497 nt
Filed under: uncultured bacterium
Lineage: Bacteria
Description: partial 16S ribosomal RNA
Rfam family: Bacterial small subunit ribosomal RNA
Source: RNAcentral
GACGAACGCUGGCGGCGUGCCUAAUACAUGCAAGUAGAACGCUGAAGAGAGGAGCUUGCUCUUCUUGGGUGAGUUGCGAACGGGUGAGUAACGCGUAGGUAACCUGCCUUGUAGCGGGGGAUAACUAUUGGAAACGAUAGCUAAUACCGCAUAACAAUGGAUAACACAUGUCAUUUAUUUGAAAGGGGCAAUUGCUCCACUACAAGAUGGACCUGCGUUGUAUUAGCUAGUAGGUGAGGUAAUGGCUCACCUAGGCGACGGUACAUAGCCGACCUGAGAAGGGGGACCGCCCACACUGGAACGAGACCCCGCUCCGAACUCUUACGGAAGCAGCAGUAGGGAAACCUUGGCAAAGGGGGCAACGCUGAACGGGCCACGGCGCGGGGGGUGAGAAGGGUUUCGGAUCCGAAAGCUCCGUUGUUUGUCAAGAAAGGGAGUUAGAGUUGAAAGUGCACACUGUGACGGUAGCUUAUCAGAAAGCCACGGCUAACUACGUG